This 1289-nucleotide long non-coding RNA is filed under the name Sus scrofa (pig). RNAcentral's name for it is "lncRNA (ENSSSCG00030072151.1)". The record is from RNAcentral. Lineage: Eukaryota; Metazoa; Chordata; Mammalia; Artiodactyla; Suidae.
UUCAGCCCCUAGCCCAGGAACUUCCAUAUGCUGAAGGUGAGGCUAUAAAAAGAAAAUAAAAGGAGUAACUGGCAAAAUACAGUAUCAAAAUUCAUAGAAGCGCUUAGAAAAAUAGCUAAAACAUGGGCAGAGAGAAGUUAUGAAUGACACUUUCUCUCCUAAAUGUCUAGAGCUCAUUUGGACAUCUUAAAGGUACUUUCACAAAAACUAAAUCUUAAAAGGAUAGAAUUCCCAUCAGCUUCCUAGGUUCUGUUUUCAAAACACUAAAGGGAAUUGAGUUUAUUGCUUAGAGUUUUAGAUACAUGCUAAGAAUAUUCACAUUGCUAACAUUAAAGCCAGCCCAGCUUAAAUGUUUCAUAAAAAACCCAACUGCUAUUGUUCCUAAAUCCAAGAAAGUGUUCAAAUUGAUCUUGUCUGUUUAGAAUUGCCUAUAAUAAAGCAAAAGUGUAAGCAAUAUCUAUUAGGAAAACUGCCAGUUUCAAGUUUUUAUUUCUCUCAGGAGUCUACAGAAGGAAAAACAAACAAACAAACAAACAAAAAACAGCCUUCUUUGCUCUUUCAUAGGAGGAGGACUUUUUCUAAAGAUAGAUAUCAACUAUCCAAGAAAAUAUAAAAAUUACUCUUUUGUGAGCUCUUACGGUAUUUAAGUACACCGAAUGCACCUGGUGUAUGUGUGUGUGUGUGUGUGUGUGUGUGUCAAUUAUCUAUUGCUACAUUAAAGAUGACCCCCAAAUUUUUUAUCUCCCACAGUUUCUAGGGUCAGGAAGUCAGCAGUGGCUCAGUUGGGUCGUUCUGACUCAUGGGCUUGUGGUCACGCAGUCAGCUGGGCUGAGGACUUCUAAGGGCUUGAGUGGAGCUGGAGAAUCUGCUCAAGCUUAUUCAUGUGGCUAUUGACAGGCCUCAGUCCCUCAUCACCUGGGAUUCUCCAUGGGGCUGUUCAUUGCAUGGCGGCUGGCGGUGCUCAGAGAUGGGUCCUGCUACAGUGGGGGAGAGGGCCCUACAAGGGUAUAAACACGAGGAGGAGACCACCUCAGAAGGUCCGUAGCAUUCAGUCCUCUUCCUACCUAGGAAUUGUUCUCCGUGGCUCUUGGUUAGACUUUCUGAGCCUUCCUUUCUUUUUCAUGAAAGUUGGUAAAUGGGUGCAUUUGAAUAAUUUCCCAAACCUUCAGUAGACUGGUGGGAGGUUGGAGGGAGCCUCUUUUCAUUUUUUGCUCUUUCUAUCCCUUUUGGUUCUAGUUGGCAGUGUUGCUGCAAAUAAAAGUUUUUGUGAAUCUCCUGGAAACUGUAUC